GACGAACGCUGGCGGCGUGCUUAACACAUGCAAGUCGAACGGUGAAGCGCCUUCCUUUUUGGUGGGUGUGGAUGAGUGGCGAACGGGUGAGUAACACGUGAGUAACCUGCCCCUUCUUUUGGAUAACCCGCUGGAAAUUUGGCUUAAUACGGGUAAUCUUGGUCCUUUGCCUUGUGGGUCUUGGGAAGGUUUUGUUUUGGUUGGGGGUGGGCUCGCGGCCUAUUCGCUUGUUGGUGGGGUUAUGGCCUACCAAGGCGGUGACGGGUAGCCGGCCUGAGAGGGUGGACGGUCACACUGGGACUGAGACACGGCCCAGACUCCUACGGGAGGCAGCAGUGGGGAAUAUUGCACAAUGGGCGCAAGCCUGAUGCAGCGACGCCGCGUGAGGGAUGGAGGCCUUCGGGUUGUGAACCUCUUUCGCCAGUGAAGCAGGCCUGCCUCGUUUGUGGGUGGGUUGACGGUAGCUGGAUAAGAAGCGCCGGCUAACUACG
This 491-nucleotide ribosomal RNA is filed under the name uncultured bacterium. RNAcentral describes it as "partial 16S ribosomal RNA". It matches the Rfam family "Bacterial small subunit ribosomal RNA", at positions 28 to 505 of the family's 1533-position model. The record is from RNAcentral.